Bos taurus (domestic cattle) is the source of this 1079-nucleotide long non-coding RNA. Lineage: Eukaryota; Metazoa; Chordata; Mammalia; Artiodactyla; Bovidae. The record is from Ensembl.
GGAUUCCCCUAUAGAUUCUUCUGCUGGAAGAUCAUGCACUGACCGGCCUACACAGGCAACUUGUUUCUGUUGGAAAUUUUAUUACACGUUGUAAGAUAACUGGAAUUCUGCUUUAAAAAAACAAAAAGGUGACUCUAAAACACACAAUAAAUUAUGAAAGUCUUACAGUUUAUUUUUCCACGAAGUUAGUCUGGAAAAUAUAAGCCAAUAAAACAGCAUAUAUGUUGCCUCUUUUGUGAUUUAGCCUUUUCUUGUUCCCUGCUUUGAGGGAACAUGGAUGUGGUCACAAAGUCUGAAGAUGAGCCCUUUUUUUAAGUUCUUUGUCAGAAUCCCUAGUGCUUCCAUUGUUUCCCAAACAGCAACCUCCCCCCGCCCCAACCUCCUUGCCUCUCGCAAACCGAAGAGAGGAUUGUUCUUCUGAAUUUUCCUAAUUCUCUGAGCCGUAAGCAGCUGGAGCUGCUGCAAGGGGUCUUAUUCGUCUCCCAAGGAAUUCCUUUAAUGGGCAAAAUUGGCACAAACGCAGGUGGACAUUAUAUAAAGUGAAAGCUUCAGGAAACAGACCAUUCGUUUCACCUUGAUCUGCUGAAUCACAUACAAGGGCGAAAGACUCCCGCCGCCCCCACCCCCCUCCCCCACACACCGAUAUUCAACACUCUCUUGCACAGAAAACUGAAACAACCCUCUAAACAUCGACUCUUUCUGUCCCCUCCAAGACAUUAAAGUCAGCAAGUGCAAGGUCAGCCUCGUGAGCAGCCUUUCUCGGAGGACAGGCUGGAGCCCGAGGCCGAGUGCAGCCUCUGCCGUAGGGUGUGCAAAGGGUAAGGCCUGUCUCCGAAACUCUAGCGCGGGGGGCGGCAGUCAUUGAAAUUGAUGCCAGAACUCUCGUUAUUCCGUUUUUCGGCCAUUUUCAUCACAGAACCAUUAACUAAGACAUUGCUAGCAACAGGACGGCCCCCUCACCCCCCCGUCCCAGAACUGCCAGCCGCCGGCAGCGCGCAGGAAGGGGAGGCACAAGGCCGCGCGAAGGCUCGUACGCUGACCGGCCAAUAUGGCCACUUUCACGUGGCUGUGGGCUACCG